RNAcentral lists this ribosomal RNA (253 nucleotides) under uncultured bacterium. Its description in RNAcentral is "partial 16S ribosomal RNA". It matches the Rfam family "Bacterial small subunit ribosomal RNA", at positions 524 to 776 of the family's 1533-position model. The record is from RNAcentral.
UACUGGGGGGGCAAGCGUUGUUCGGAAUUACUGGGCGUAAAGGGCUCGUAGGUGGCCAACUAAGUCAGACGUGAAAUCCCUCAGCUUAACUGGGGAACUGCGUCUGAUACUGGAUGGCUUGAGUUUGGGAGAGGGAUGCGGAAUUCCAGGUGUAGCGGUGAAAUGCGUAGAUAUCUGGAGGAACACCGGUGGCGAAGGCGGCAUCCUGGACCAACACUGACACUGAGGAGCGAAAGCCAGGGGAGCAAACGGG